This 520-nucleotide ribosomal RNA is filed under the name uncultured Glomus. RNAcentral's name for it is "SSU rRNA". It matches the Rfam family "Eukaryotic small subunit ribosomal RNA", at positions 569 to 1090 of the family's 1831-position model. Lineage: Eukaryota; Fungi; Glomeromycota; Glomeromycetes; Glomerales; Glomeraceae. The record is from RNAcentral.
AGCAGCCGCGGUAAUUCCAGCUCCAAUAGCGUAUAUUAAAGUUGUUGCAGUUAAAAAGCUCGUAGUUGAAUUUCGGGGUUAGUAGGUUGGUCAUGCCUCUGGUAUGUACUGGUCUCACUGAUUCCUCCUUCCUGAUGAGCCGUAAUGCCAUUAAUUUGGUGUUGCGGGGAAUUUGGACUGUUACUUUGAAAAAAUUAGAGUGUUUAAAGCAGGCUCACGCUUGAAUACAUUAGCAUGGAAUAAUGAAAUAGGACGUUUGAUUCUAUUUUGUUGGUUUCUAGGAUCGACGUAAUGAUUAAUAGGGAUAGUUGGGGGCAUUAGUAUUCAAUUGUCAGAGGUGAAAUUCUUGGAUUUAUUGAAGACUAACUACUGCGAAAGCAUUUGCCAAGGAUGUUUUCAUUAAUCAAGAACGAAAGUUAGGGGAUCGAAGACGAUCAGAUACCGUCGUAGUCUUAACCAUAAACUAUGCCGACUAGGGAUCGGAUGAUGUUAAUUUUUUAAUGACUCAUUCGGCGCCUUA